RNAcentral lists this long non-coding RNA (416 nucleotides) under Dromaius novaehollandiae (emu). RNAcentral describes it as "lncRNA (ENSDNVG00000016293.1)". The record is from RNAcentral. Lineage: Eukaryota; Metazoa; Chordata; Aves; Casuariiformes; Dromaiidae.
UUUUUAUUCCAACACCCUACCCUGCACCUUUCCAGGUCUAGUAAAUCUGUCAUCAGUAGGCUUAGAUAAGGACCCUGCAAUGCCUCUGGCAGAAGUGAGAUGUUUGUUUAAUGUAAAACCUCCCGGACCUGCUCCUGAGGAGACCAGAAGAAGUUCUUGAUGCGAGAACAAAAGAUAAAAGUUCAAUCUGGAAGGCAGAAAAGUGGGUUGUCAACCAUAUAGCUUGGACGAUUCGUCCUACAGCAGGCUCUAGGGUAUCAUCGUCUGGCUUUAUCUCGCUUUCUCAGCUUCUACUCAAGACUACUGUGCAUCUUAAGAAGUUAUCCCAUAGGAUCUACAUUCUUCCUCUGCAAAACAUGUGCUUUUGCUCCUACAUCAAAAUGAAUCACAGACCUGGGGCCCCUGAGAGUUUAUAG